Molecule: ribosomal RNA, 253 nt
Filed under: uncultured bacterium
Lineage: Bacteria
Description: partial 16S ribosomal RNA
Rfam family: Bacterial small subunit ribosomal RNA
Source: RNAcentral
UACGUAGGGUGCAAGCGUUGUCCGGAAUUAUUGGGCGUAAAGAGCUCGUAGGCGGUUCGUCACGUCGGCUGUGAAAACCUGAGGCUCAACCUCAGGCCUGCAGUCGAUACGGGCGGACUUGAGUACUGCAGGGGAGACUGGAAUUCCUGGUGUAGCGGUGAAAUGCGCAGAUAUCAGGAGGAACACCGGUGGCGAAGGCGGGUCUCUGGGCAGUAACUGACACUGAGAAGCGAAAGCGUGGGGAGCGAACAGG